ACACGUGGGUAACCUGCCUGUAAGACUGGGAUAACUCCGGGAAACCGGGGCUAAUACCGGAUGGUUGUUUGAACCGCAUGGUUCAGACAUAAAAGGUGGCUUCGGCUACCACUUACAGAUGGACCCGCGGCGCAUUAGCUAGUUGGUGAGGUAACGGCUCACCAAGGCAACGAUGCGUAGCCGACCUGAGAGGGUGAUCGGCCACACUGGGACUGAGACACGGCCCAGACUCCUACGGGAGGCAGCAGUAGGGAAUCUUCCGCAAUGGACGAAAGUCUGACGGAGCAACGCCGCGUGAGUGAUGAAGGUUUUCGGAUCGUAAAGCUCUGUUGUUAGGGAAGAACAAGUGCCGUUCAAAUAGGGCGGCACCUUGACGGUACCUAACCAGAAAGCCACGGCUAACUACGUGCCAGCAGCCGCGGUAAUACGUAGGUGGCAAGCGUUGUCCGGAAUUAUUGGGCGUAAAGGGCUCGCAGGCGGUUUCUUAAGUCUGAUGUGAAAGCCCCCGGCUCAACCGGGGAGGGUCAUUGGAAACUGGGGAACUUGAGUGCAGAAGAGGAGAGUGGAAUUCCACGUGUAGCGGUGAAAUGCGUAGAGAUGUGGAGGAACACCAGUGGCGAAAGCGACUCUCUGGUCUG
Molecule: ribosomal RNA, 638 nt
Filed under: Bacillus amyloliquefaciens
Lineage: Bacteria; Bacillati; Bacillota; Bacilli; Caryophanales; Bacillaceae
Description: bacterial SSU rRNA
Rfam family: Bacterial small subunit ribosomal RNA
Source: RNAcentral